Molecule: ribosomal RNA, 305 nt
Filed under: uncultured bacterium
Lineage: Bacteria
Description: bacterial SSU rRNA
Rfam family: Bacterial small subunit ribosomal RNA
Source: RNAcentral
UUCGCCUACGGGGGCCAGCAGUGGGGGAUAUUGGACAAUGGGGGGAACCCUGAUCCAGCGACGCCGCGUGAGUGAAGAAGUAUUUCGGUAUGUAAAGCUCUAUCAGCAGGGAAGAAAAUGACGGUACCUGACUAAGAAGCCCCGGCUAACUACGUGCCAGCAGCCGCGGUAAUACGUAGGGGGCAAGCGUUAUCCGGAUUUACUGGGUGUAAAGGGAGCGUAGACGGAGGAGCAAGUCUGAUGUGAAAAUCCGGGGCCCAACCCCGGAACUGCAUUGGAAACUGUUUAUCUAGAGUGUCGGAGAG